AGAGUUUGAUCCUGGCUCAGAUUGAACGCUGGCGGCAUGCUUUACACAUGCAAGUCGGACGGCAGCACAGGGAAGCUUGCUUCUUGGGUGGCGAGUGGCGAACGGGUGAGUAACAUAUCGGAACGUACCGAGCAGUGGGGGAUAACUAAUCGAAAGAUUAGCUAAUACCGCAUAUUUUCUGAGGAAGAAAGCAGGGGACCUUUGGGCCUUGCGCUGUUUGAGCGGCCGAUAUCUGAUUAGCUAGUUGGUGGGGUAAAGGCCUACCAAGGCGACGAUCAGUAGCGGGUCUGAGAGGAUGAUCCGCCACACUGGGACUGAGACACGGCCCAGACUCCUACGGGAGGCAGCAGUGGGGAAUUUUGGACAAUGGGCGCAAGCCUGAUCCAGCCAUGCCGCGCGUCUGAAGAAGGCCUUCGGGUUGUAAAGGACUUUUGUCAGGGAAGAAAAGGGCGGGGUUAAUACCCCUGUCUGAUGACGGUACCUGAAGAAUAAGCACCGGCUAACUACGUGCCAGCAGCCGCGGUAAUACGUAGGGUGCGAGCGUUAAUCGGAAUUACUGGGCGUAAAGCGAGCGCAGACGGUUACUUAAGCAGGAUGUGAAAUCCCUGGGCUCAACCUGGGAACUGCGUUCUGAACUGGGUGACUAGAGUGUGUCAGAGGGAGGUAGAAUUCCACGUGUAGCAGUGAAAUGCGUAGAGAUGUGGAGGAAUGCCGAUGGCGAAGGCAGCCUCCUGGGAUAACACUGACGUUCAUGCUCGAAAGCGUGGGUAGCAAACAGGAUUAGAUACCCUGGUAGUCCACGCCCUAAACGAUGUCAAUUAGCUGUUGGGCAACUUGAUUGCUUAGUAGCGUAGCUAACGCGUGAAAUUGACCGCCUGGGGAGUACGGUCGCAAGAUUAAAACUCAAAGGAAUUGACGGGGACCCGCACA
This 930-nucleotide ribosomal RNA is filed under the name uncultured bacterium. RNAcentral describes it as "bacterial SSU rRNA". It matches the Rfam family "Bacterial small subunit ribosomal RNA", at positions 8 to 927 of the family's 1533-position model. The record is from RNAcentral.